CCUACGGGUGGCUGCAGUGAGGAAUAUUGGUCAAUGGACGAGAGUCUGAACCAGCCAAGUAGCGUGAAGGAUGACUGCCCUAUGGGUUGUAAACUUCUUUUAUAUGGGAAUAAAAUGUUCCACGUGUGGGAUUUUGUAUGUACCAUAUGAAUAAGGAUCGGCUAACUCCGUUCCAGCAGCCGCGGUAAUACGGAGGAUCCGAGCGUUAUCCGGAUUUAUUGGGUUUAAAGGGAGCGUAGGUGGAUUGUUAAGUCAGUUGUGAAAGUUUGCGGCUCAACCGUAGAAUUGCAGUUGAAACUGGCAGGCUUGAGUACAGUAGAGGUGGGCGGAAUUCGAGGUGUAGCGGUGAAAUGCUUAGAGAUCACGAAGAACUCCGAUUGCGAAGGCAGCCCACUGGACUGCAACUGACACUGAGGCUCGAAAGUGUGGGGAGCAAACAGGAUUAGAUACCCCAGUAGUC
This 460-nucleotide ribosomal RNA is filed under the name uncultured bacterium. RNAcentral describes it as "partial 16S ribosomal RNA". It matches the Rfam family "Bacterial small subunit ribosomal RNA", at positions 338 to 795 of the family's 1533-position model. The record is from RNAcentral.